AGAACGAACGCUGGCGGCAUGCCUAAUACAUGCAAGUCGAACGAACACUUCGGUGUUAGUGGCGCACGGGUGCGUAACGCGUGGGAAUCUGCCCUUGGGUUCGGAAUAACAGUUGGAAACGACUGCUAAUACCGGAUGAUAUCGAAAGAUCAAAGAUUUAUCGCCCAGGGAUGAGCCCGCGUAGGAUUAGCUAGUUGGUGAGGUAAAGGCUCACCAAGGCGACGAUCCUUAGCUGGUCUGAGAGGAUGAUCAGCCACACUGGGACUGAGACACGGCCCAGACUCCUACGGGAGGCAGCAGUAGGGAAUAUUGGACAAUGGGCGCAAGCCUGAUCCAGCAAUGCCGCGUGAGUGAUGAAGGCCUUAGGGUUGUAAAGCUCUUUACCCGAGAUGAUAAUGACAGUAUCGGAGAACAAGCCCCGGCUAACUCCGCGCCAAGCCAGCCCGC
RNAcentral lists this ribosomal RNA (447 nucleotides) under uncultured soil bacterium. RNAcentral's name for it is "bacterial SSU rRNA". It matches the Rfam family "Bacterial small subunit ribosomal RNA", at positions 26 to 518 of the family's 1533-position model. The record is from RNAcentral.